RNAcentral lists this ribosomal RNA (479 nucleotides) under uncultured bacterium. RNAcentral describes it as "partial 16S ribosomal RNA". It matches the Rfam family "Bacterial small subunit ribosomal RNA", at positions 28 to 507 of the family's 1533-position model. The record is from RNAcentral.
GAUGAACGCUGGCGGUGUGCUUAACACAUGCAAGUCGAGCGAGAAGUCAUGAAAAGCUUCCUCGGACGAAAUGUAAAAUGGAAACCGGCGGACGGGAGAGUAACGCGUAGGCAACCUGCCCCAUACAAAGGGAUAGCAUUAGGAAACGAACACUAAUACCCUAUGAAACUUAACUAGUGCAUGCUAGGUAUGUCACAAAUUUAUAGGUAUGUGAUGGGUGUGCGUCUGAUUAGCUAGAUGGCGAGGUAAAGGCGCACCAAGGCGACGAUCAGUAGCCGGGCAGGGAGGAGGCGCGGCAAACUUGGACGUGAGGCACGAGUGAGACUCCUACGGCAAGGGGCGGAAGGGGAAUUUGCACAAUCGGGGAGACCCUGAUAGGGCAACGCGGCGUGAAGGCUGUUGGCCGGGGAAGAAUAAAGUUCUGUUAAAGGGGAUCAAAGCUGACGGUACCCUAAGAGAAAGCACCGGCUAACUCCGUG